This 253-nucleotide ribosomal RNA is filed under the name uncultured bacterium. RNAcentral's name for it is "partial 16S ribosomal RNA". It matches the Rfam family "Bacterial small subunit ribosomal RNA", at positions 524 to 776 of the family's 1533-position model. The record is from RNAcentral.
UACAGAGGUCCCAAGCGUUGUUCGGAUUCACUGGGCGUAAAGGGUGCGUAGGUGGUCAGGUAAGUUUGAUGUGAAAUCUCCGAGCUUAACUCGGAAACGGCAUUAAAAACUACUUGGCUGGAGGGUCGGAAGGGGGGCUGGAAUUCUCGGUGUAGCAGUGAAAUGCGUAGAUAUCGAGAGGAACACCAGUGGCGAAAGCGAGUCCCUGGACGACUCCUGACACUGAGGCACGAAAGCUAGGGGAGCAAACAGG